CUGGACUGUACUGCUGCCAUGUCGGCUCACUGCAACCUCCCUGCCUGAUUCUCCUGCCUCAGCCUGCCGAGUGCCUGCGAUUGUAGGCCCGCGCCGCCACGCCUGACUGGUUUUCGUAUUUUUUGGGUGGAGACGGGGUUUCGCUGUGUUGGCCAGGCUGGUCUCCAGCUCCUAACCGCGAGUGAUCCGCCAGCCUCGGCCUCCCGAGGUGCCGGGAUUGCAGACGGAGUCUCCUUCACUCAGUGCUCAAUGGUGCCCAGGCUGGAGUGCAGUGGCGUGAUCUCGGCUCGCUACAACAUCCACCUCCCAGCAGCCUGCCUUGGCCUCCCAAAGUGGCGAGAUUGCAGCCUCUGCCCGGCCGCCACCCCGUCUGGGAAGUGAGGAGCGUCUCUGCCUGGCCGCCCAUCGUCUGGGAUGUGAGGAGCCCCUCUGCCUGGCUGCCCAGUCUGGAAAGUGAGGAGCAUCUCUGCCCGGCCGCCAUCCCAUCUAGGAAGUGAGGAGCGCCUCUUCCCGGCCGCCACCCCAUCUAGGAAGUGAGGAGCGUCUCUCCCCGGCCGCCCAUCGUCUGAGAUGUGGGGAGCGCCUCUGCCCUGUCGCCUCGUCCGGGAUGUGAGGAGCGUCUCUGCCCGGCCGCCCCGUCUGAGAAGUGAGGAGACCCUCUGCCUGGCAACCGCCCUGUCUGAGAGGUUUGACUGAUAAAAUCACUGGCUGUUGUUGAGUGAACCCAAUCUCCAGCCCCUUUCCCUUCCCAGAGAUCAGGGAUUGCAGCUAAAAGUUCUAACCCUGUAAUCACAUGGUUGGUUCCUCCGGCAACUAGUCCCCAUCCCGUAGCUACCUGGGGGCCCACCAAGAGUCCAAGGAUCACAUUAGCACAAACUCAGAAGGAGGAUGGAAAGAACUGAGGAAGCAGUAAAAGCAUUCAGGCCGUACGAGCAUAUAGAAAAAACUUGCAAAGAAAAAUGAAGAAACGCCUGCUCAUUAGCCAUCUGCCACUUCACCAAUGCCAGGAAAUUCCGGGCAGCUGUUUUUUAUAAAGUGGAUAAUUCACAUAAUUGUGUUGGGGACUUCCAGCUAUGAAGAACUGUUAGAACAUUUGAAAAUUAGUGUUCCCAAGUUGUACUGUGAUACAAAAGCCCAGUGAAUUCUUCAAACUUCCACCUCUUACAGGAAUCUGAGAAAACCAGAUAAUGUUUACAUCUACGCAUGGGGAAGGAAGGCUUGGCAGAUUAUUGGUAUCGAAAGGAAUUCUUUUUAGUUAGUUUUUAACCCUACCUGUCUUGUGAAUGUGCUAUGUACAGGCUCUUUGUAAGUCUUCAACCAUGCAGCAAAAUCCAUCUAGCCACUCAAAGAUUGGUAAUAGCAUAAUUGUCUAAUGUGUGUCUUUUCAGGAAAUUGAAAUUGAUAUGUUGUAUCUCCCUCAUGCCAAAAUUUUAUAAAAAUCAUUUCUAAGCCUAAUGACAUGUAAACUGAAUUACCCCCUCCAAAUAUUUACUCUAAAAGCAAGUGGACAAUUUCUGUAGAAUUCCUAAGAUAAUCAUCUCCUGCUAAAAACAAAAUCUACAUUCAAUUUAUAAGAUGCCUUUGUAUUCUCUUUAAGAAGAUGAACCUAUAGUGAAAAAGCUCAAAAACAAAUUAAAUAUAAAACUUUCCUUCUACUAGUGGUGCUGGGCACCGAAUACCUGCAAUUUCACAUAAUGCAAAGCACAUUUGAGAACAAUGAACACACACCUCACGUUGACUUCCCCUCCUCUGACUUGAGCAAGAAAUUCCCCUUCUCUUCAUCUUGGUUAUUCCCUGUAAGUCUCAGUUUCCACAUCUCCACAGAACAGAGAAUAACAUGCAACCUGCUCCACACAGUGGUUGCAAGAAUUAAAUUUGAUCAGGCAAUCAAAUAUUUUGUACACAUUUCAUAUGCUCAGCUGCCUCAAGAAGCUCUAGUUAGACAAAACAAACAUGGUGGAAACAAUUGCAUGUAACUGAGGGCUAAAUAACAUGGAAAAGAUGCAACAUGUAUCCAUAGACUUGUGGACAGUGUAUUCACAGGAGGCAAUAAAGGCAGUGAGAAUACCUAGGAAAUGUUUCCUGGAAAUGCUAUCCUUGAUCUCAGCUUGAAGGAUGGUCAGAGGACAGGAUACAUACAGCCCCAAGAAGAGGAGAGGGGAUUCCAUCUACUCUUAUCUCUUUCACUCCCCUGCUCACAGUUGAUACUUAGCCAGCAUCACCUGGAAACAUGAGAGUUGAAAAGCAAAUCUCCAGACCCAUCCCAGUCCUAUGGACUCAGCACUCUCAGGUGGGGCUCAGAGAUCUGUUUUAACCAGCCUUCCAGCUGGACUUCUGAACACUCAAGUUUGGGAACCACUGCUGUUGCUUUGCUUGAUCUUACCUCCUCUCUUCGGUGACCACAAGUUCUUUCCACCUGACCAACUCCUGCAGUUUUUGCAGCUGUAAAUUUCACUUUCAUUUCCUCCAGAGAGCAUGCCCAACCUGCACUGGAGUCUAGUUUGUCCAUGCAUGUCCCAACCCCAGCCCUAGGUUAGGUAUUUUGGCCCUGUGUCAUACUUUCCUUGACAAGGUACUCAGGGCAUGUCAUUUUGCUUGUUUAAUUGCCUUCCUGAUAACCUACUAGCUCCAUAAAGGCAGGUACUGAGUCUAUUUUGUUCACAUCACUUCAUUCUCAGAGCCUUGCACACUGUAAGGUACUUUGUUAAUACCUGUUGGAUAAAUAAGUAAAUCAAAGAAGCCACGAAACAAUUGGUUUUGAAUAGUAUAAAGUACUAUAAAAUCAGGAAUAUGAUACAUAUACAAUUAACAGAUGCAUUUGAAGUACCGGUUGUAGAAACACAGCUGAGUUUAGUUUGUCUUUGAGAAGAGUUUCAUGAAGAGAUUUGGGUUUCGAAAAUCUCUGCACUGAAAAUGCUACCAAUGUCACACCAUAUCACCUGAUAAGGUAGUAUUGAUUGUUUGUUAUUAUCAUUCUUGGCAGUAUUGCUUGUUUGUCAUUAUCAUUCAUUUUUCCUCCAUGACCAGAUUUUUCUGCCUUUGGAGCAAUUUGGCCCACAGAGGCUGGCAGACAAAACAGCCUCUCACCAGUGCAAGAGAAGGGCUGUGGGGAGGCUUACAUCUAAGAUUUGUGGGUGAAUAUUGGAAACAGUAACUCUUCACUUUAUUAUAAAGAAAAAGCUUUGGACCAAGAGUCCUAACACCUGAAUUCUAACUCUGGCUUCCUUCCUUCCCUCAUUUAAAUAUUUAAAUAUUUACUCUAUUCCGGGCCCUGUGCUUGGAUCUGAGCCUACAAUGGCGAACAAGACAUACACGUAGUCCCUCCCUCACCAAACCUAAAGGUCUGCUCAUCUGCUAUGGGCUACAGCCACUCCUGACUCCUACAGGACACCGAAC
RNAcentral lists this long non-coding RNA (3396 nucleotides) under Homo sapiens (human). RNAcentral describes it as "HSALNT0071196". Lineage: Eukaryota; Metazoa; Chordata; Mammalia; Primates; Hominidae. The record is from RNAcentral.